GAUGAACGCUGGCGGCGUGCCUAAUACAUGCAAGUCGAGCGAACGGACGAGAAGCUUGCUUCUCUGAUGUUAGCGGCGGACGGGUGAGUAACACGUGGAUAACCUACCUAUAAGACUGGGAUAACUUCGGGAAACCGGAGCUAAUACCGGAUAAUAUUUUGAACCGCAUGGUUCAACAGUGAAAGACGGUCUUGCUGUCACUUAUAGAUGGAUCCGCGCUGCAUUAGCUAGUUGGUAAGGUAACGGCUUACCAAGGCAACGAUGCAUAGCCGACCUGAGAGGGUGAUCGGCCACACUGGAACUGAGACACGGUCCAGACUCCUACGGGAGGCAGCAGUAGGGAAUCUUCCGCAAUGGGCGAAAGCCUGACGGAGCAACGCCGCGUGAGUGAAGAAGGUCUUCGGAUCGUAAAACUCUGUUAUUAGGGAAGAACAUAUGUGUAAGUAACUGUGCACAUCUUGACGGUACCUAAUCAGAAAGCCACGGCUAACUACGUG
This 497-nucleotide ribosomal RNA is filed under the name uncultured bacterium. Its description in RNAcentral is "partial 16S ribosomal RNA". It matches the Rfam family "Bacterial small subunit ribosomal RNA", at positions 28 to 507 of the family's 1533-position model. The record is from RNAcentral.